RNAcentral lists this long non-coding RNA (562 nucleotides) under Pan troglodytes (chimpanzee). Its description in RNAcentral is "long non-coding RNA NONPTRT000713". Lineage: Eukaryota; Metazoa; Chordata; Mammalia; Primates; Hominidae. The record is from RNAcentral.
CUGGGAACAUGACUCCAAGGAGCAGCGACUAGGACAGCGAGGGAUCUGGCCCUCAGGUUGCAGCGUGGCCUGCGCGCGGAACUUAAACACCUAAGGGAAAAGAUGGCGCGCGAUGAUGACGUCAAACGCAAUGGCUCCCGCGGGUUGUGGUCGGAGCGCUGGCGGGGGCGUGAUCGUGACGUUAAGGGCGGUGCCCAGUCAGCGAGGAGCUAGAAUGACUUGUCAGCCACCUUUGAGCAAGAACUUGCCUGGAGUCCAAAUGUAUGGCUAUUGAAGGAUAGUAAGCAGACAGCACUAAAAGUCAUCCAUUCGUUAUGGAUUUAGUCUUAAGACCCUCAUUUGAGAGAUGCCUUCCCUGUACCUGGAGGAAAGAAACAUCCUUAUCUCUGAAGACACAGGGCCACAGAGAAGAGUCUGAACAAACAGGCUUUACCAAUUUCCCCCAGUUGUUACCGUUAGAUCAGACCUUUGUCCAGUCAUACCUUUCCACAAGUUGUCCACUCAUCAACCCUAAGCAUAAAAAUGCACAAGUUUCCCUGUUUGUUUGGGUCUUCAUUUCCAA